This 253-nucleotide ribosomal RNA is filed under the name uncultured bacterium. Its description in RNAcentral is "partial 16S ribosomal RNA". It matches the Rfam family "Bacterial small subunit ribosomal RNA", at positions 524 to 776 of the family's 1533-position model. The record is from RNAcentral.
UACGUAGGGGGCAAGCGUUGUCCGGAAUUAUUGGGCGUAAAGAGCUCGUAGGCGGUUGGGUAAGUCGGGUGUGAAAACUCCAGGCUCAACUUGGAGAUGCCACCCGAUACUGCUCUGACUUGAGUUCGGUAGGGGAGUGGGGAAUCCUGGUGUAGCGGUGAAAUGCGCAGAUAUCAGGAGGAACACCGGUGGCGAAGGCGGAUCUCUGGGCCGAUACUGACGCUGAGGAGCGAAAGCGUGGGGAGCGAACAGG